ACCCAAAUCAAAAGUUUUUGCGAACUAAACAAGACCUAAGUUUGCUCUGUGAAACUGGGACAUGUUACAGCAGAGCGACACGCCACUCUGAAUCAGGAUUCGGUGCGAUACUGUCAUGAAUGUGGCACACGUGCACUGUCUAUGUAAACCAAGAUGCUCACAAGAUCCCAGGAGCUGUGGCAGCUAGUCAGAUUUCCAAGAACCAAUCAGCCAAACCACUGCUAUCUUGGGCUUAGUUACAUUACAUACAUACACAACGGGCUCGGAGCAAAGAUGAGACUCAUGAGAGGCCUCAACAGCAGAAGCUAAACUGCUGCAUGUACUUACCUGAAAUAGUACAUGAACCGCUCUCUUGUUGGAUAGCAAAAGGAAAGGAGAAUCAAUUCACAGGGCUCACAGCUCAGAUAGGAGAUGAAGCAGCAGAAGUGCUGGUGCUCGUUCCUCAGCCAUAAGCUGCUCGCGGUACUGAUGUCUGUCGCCAUACUUGCAGUGAUGCUCACCGGCUUCCUCACAGGAGCAGCGGCGUCCAUGGGCAAGCGAGGGCACGGCGAGCCACCACCACCUCCAAUCUCCGAUGCUAGCCAUCACCAAUCUUCCAGGUCUCCGGAUCACGACAUGCAACCCCUGUCACCAGACAAAAGCUAGACGAACCGGUGGGGCAUCUCGACAUUGUUUGUUGUGUUCUACAAGAGAAGUUAUCUUCCCCAAAAACUGAAAACUAAGUAAACAAACUCGGUGUACUGCAAAGUUCUCUUCUCCAUCAUUUUGAUUUCAGAUUAGAGACUGCUUCCCAGUUCCCGUUCUAUUGCAAAAUUUCUCUAGCGUUUGUUCCUCUUACAGAAGGAUCACUGAGUGGAUACUCCCUUUGCGCUUAUGUAAUUGCAUUCUUUAUGUAACCUUUUUCCCGUUUUUCCUACGCAGUAACUUUUUGAAGCAAACUAUUGCAAUUAUUAUUUGUCAAUGAACCAAACAAUCAAGAUA
This is a long non-coding RNA of Sorghum bicolor (sorghum), 981 nucleotides long. RefSeq lists it as uncharacterized. NCBI's taxonomy places the organism in Eukaryota, Viridiplantae, Streptophyta, Magnoliopsida, Poales, Poaceae. The transcript is spliced from 2 exons. The record is from RefSeq and is a predicted model, not a curated record.